UAGGGAAUCUUCGGCAAUGGACGAAAGUCUGACCGAGCAACGCCGCGUGAGUGAAGAAGGUUUUCGGAUCGUAAAACUCUGUUGUUAGAGAAGAACAAGGACGUUAGUAACUGAACGUCCCCUGACGGUAUCUAACCAGAAAGCCACGGCUAACUACGUGCCAGCAGCCGCGGUAAUACGUAGGUGGCAAGCGUUGUCCGGAUUUAUUGGGCGUAAAGCGAGCGCAGGCGGUUUCUUAAGUCUGAUGUGAAAGCCCCCGGCUCAACCGGGGAGGGUCAUUGGAAACUGGGAGACUUGAGUGCAGAAGAGGAGAAUGGAAUUCCAUGUGUAGCGGUGAAAUGCGUAGAUAUAUGGAGGAACACCAGUGGCGAAGGCGGCUCUCUGGUCUGUAACUGACGCUGAGGCGCGAAAGCGUGGGGAGCAAACAGG
Molecule: ribosomal RNA, 429 nt
Filed under: Gemmatimonadota bacterium
Lineage: Bacteria; Pseudomonadati; Gemmatimonadota
Description: Gemmatimonadetes bacterium partial 16S ribosomal RNA
Rfam family: Bacterial small subunit ribosomal RNA
Source: RNAcentral